UACAGAGGGGGCAAGCGUUGUUCGGAAUUACUGGGCGUAAAGGGCGCGUAGGCGGCCUGUUAAGUCGAACGUGAAAUACCCGGGCUCAACCCGGGAACUGCGUCCGAUACUGGCAGGCUUGAAUCCGGGAGAGGGAUGCGGAAUUCCAGGUGUAGCGGUGAAAUGUGUAGAUAUCUGGAGGAACACCGGUGGCGAAGGCGGCAUCCUGGACCGGCAUUGACGCUGAGGCGCGAAAGCGUGGGGAGCAAACAGG
This 253-nucleotide ribosomal RNA is filed under the name uncultured bacterium. Its description in RNAcentral is "partial 16S ribosomal RNA". It matches the Rfam family "Bacterial small subunit ribosomal RNA", at positions 524 to 776 of the family's 1533-position model. The record is from RNAcentral.